This is a long non-coding RNA of Wyeomyia smithii (pitcher-plant mosquito), 434 nucleotides long. RefSeq lists it as uncharacterized. The transcript has 3 exons. NCBI's taxonomy places the organism in Eukaryota, Metazoa, Arthropoda, Insecta, Diptera, Culicidae. The record is from RefSeq and is a predicted model, not a curated record.
UGAAAUACUAUAAUUUGGAAUUGUGGUAGGAUCUUUGCAGGGUUUAAUGUGGACCAAGCUACGGCGAUAACCUGCACCAUUUACCUCCACCUGGAAAGAACGUUUACUUAAGCGAUUCGACACAGUGCCACGAGACCAUUCUUUUGAAAUUUCUGGAUAUAACUGCACAUAUACUGGCGAUCCAACUUGAAGAUCAGAAUUCGGAACACCUUCGACAACCUUUGGGAAUAGAUUUUUCGCCGAUGUCGGUAUACCGCACUUCGUGGAUCUCGAAAAUAAACGGGCCGCUGGACUGGAACCUAUUUUAUUGGUAAACGUUUAGCGAUCUUCACGGCUGCCUCCGCUUUCCCGUUAGAUUGCUGGUGAUGAGGAGAUGAUGUAGUGUGCUGGAAAUCCCAUUCGAUGGCGAAUUCUUCCAUCUUUCGGCAAACGAA